This 270-nucleotide ribosomal RNA is filed under the name uncultured prokaryote. RNAcentral's name for it is "partial 16S ribosomal RNA". It matches the Rfam family "Bacterial small subunit ribosomal RNA", at positions 524 to 794 of the family's 1533-position model. The record is from RNAcentral.
UACGUAGGUGGCAAGCGUUGUCCGGAUUUACUGGGCGUAAAGGGAGCGUAGGCGGACUUUUAAGUGAGAUGUGAAAUACCCGGGCUCAACUUGGGUGCUGCAUUUCAAACUGGAAGUCUAGAGUGCAGGAGAGGAGAAUGGAAUUCCUAGUGUAGCGGCGAAAUGCGUAGAGAUUAGGAAGAACACCAGUGGCGAAGGCGAUUCUCUGGACUGUAACUGACGCUGAGGCUCGAAAGCGUGGGGAGCAACAGGAUUAGAUACCCGGGUAGU